AGCGAACGCUGGCGGCAGGCCUAACACAUGCAAGUCGAGCGCCCAGCAAUGGGAGCGGCAGACGGGAUAGUAACACGUGGGAACGUACCUUUCAGUUCGGAACAACCCAGGGAAACUUGGGCUAAUACCGAAUACGUCCGUAAGGAGAAAGAUUUAUCGCUGAAAGAUCGGCCCGCGUCUGAUUAGCUAGUUGGUGAGGUAAUGGCUCACCAAGGCGACGAUCAGUAGCNGGUCUGAGAGGAUGAUCAGCAUCACUGGGACUGAGACACGGCCCAGACUCCUACGGGAGGCAGCAGUGGGGAAUAUUGGACAAUGGGCGCAAGCCUGAUCCAGCCAUGCCGCGUGAUGAUGAAGCCUUAGGGUUGUAAAGUCCUUUCGGGCGGGAAGAUAAUGACGGUACCCGCAGAAGAACGCCCCGGCUAACUUCGUGCC
Molecule: ribosomal RNA, 432 nt
Filed under: uncultured bacterium
Lineage: Bacteria
Description: bacterial SSU rRNA
Rfam family: Bacterial small subunit ribosomal RNA
Source: RNAcentral